RNAcentral lists this ribosomal RNA (468 nucleotides) under uncultured bacterium. RNAcentral describes it as "partial 16S ribosomal RNA". It matches the Rfam family "Bacterial small subunit ribosomal RNA", at positions 28 to 507 of the family's 1533-position model. The record is from RNAcentral.
GACGAACGCUGGCGGCGUGCUUAACACAUGCAAGUCGAACGGAAAGGCCCUGCCUUUGUGGGGUGAUCGAGUGGCGAACGAGUGAGUAACACGUGAGUAACCUGCCCUUGACUUUGGGAUAACUGCAGGAAACUGGGGCUAAUGCCGGAACGGCGCUCCUGCGGGAUGGUGGGGGUGGGAUAGUUUCGGCGGGUGGGGUUGGGCUCGCGGCUUAUAAGCUUGUUGGUGGGGUAGUGGCUUACCAAGGCUUUGACGGGUAGCCGGCCGGGGAGGGUGACCGGCCACAUUGGGACUGGGAUACGGCCCAGACUCCUACGGGAGGCAGCAGUGGGGAAUAUUGCACAAUGGGCGGAAGCCUGAUGAAGCAACGCCGCGUGCGGGAUGACGGCCUUCGGGUUGUAAACCGCUUUCGCCUGUGACGAAGCGUGAGUGACGGUAAUGGGUAAAGAAGCACCGGCUAACUACGUG